Molecule: long non-coding RNA, 319 nt
Organism: Cydia amplana
Lineage: Eukaryota; Metazoa; Arthropoda; Insecta; Lepidoptera; Tortricidae
Exons: 3
Source: RefSeq, a predicted model, not a curated record
CAGCUCGGGCUCGGAGCCCCUCGCCGCGCUCGCGCAGGCGCGCCUGCAGCACCCGGCCUCCUCGGACAGCGACGUGCCACUCCGGGCGCACAGGAAAGGUAAAGGAGUGGGCAAAAAGACAAAGAUAGCGAACGGUCACGUGCCGACCGCGUCACCGGAGCCCGGGCCCGCGUAUGAGAGAGACACCUACAUACCGUCUCCCAAUGGAUUAUCAUCAUCGUCCACGGAGCAGAUAGAAGUGGAACAGUUGUCGAUACCGGCCGACGACGCGUCGUUAACUUACGACGACGAUUCACCCGCACAUGAACCUAGUCCAGAG